AGCCAGACUCCUACGGGAGGCAGCAGUGAGGAAUAUUGGUCAAUGGUCGGGAGACUGAACCAGCCAAGCCGCGUGAGGGAUGAAGGUACAGAGUAUCGUAAACCUCUUUUGUCAGGGAACAAAGGCGGGGACGUGUCCCCGGAUGAGUGUACCUGAAGAAAAAGCAUCGGCUAACUCCGUGCCAGCAGCCGCGGUAAUACGGAGGAUGCGAGCGUUAUCCGGAUUUAUUGGGUUUAAAGGGUGCGCAGGCGGUCUGUUAAGCCGGGGUUCAAAGCCGGGGGCCCCCCCCCGGCGAGCCGUUGAAACUGGCAGUCUCGAGUUGGAGAGAAGUAUGCGGAAUGCGCGGUGUAGCGGUGAAAUGCAUAGAUAUCGCGCAGAACUCCGAUUGCGAAGGCAGCAUGCCGGCUCCACACUGACGCUGAGGCACGAAAGCGUGGGUAUCGAACAGGAUUAGAUACCCCCGUAU
RNAcentral lists this ribosomal RNA (466 nucleotides) under uncultured bacterium. Its description in RNAcentral is "bacterial SSU rRNA". It matches the Rfam family "Bacterial small subunit ribosomal RNA", at positions 329 to 793 of the family's 1533-position model. The record is from RNAcentral.